AAUAAACGCUGGCGGCGUGCCUAACACAUGCAAGUCGAGCGAGAAAGCUCCUUCGGGAGUGAGUACAGCGGCGAACGGGUGAGCAACGCGCGGGAAUCUACCCUUCAGUGAAGAAUACCCUUGAGAAAUCGAGGUUAAUACUGCAUACGUCCUGUAAAGGAGAAAGAUGGCCUCUUUGCUGUCGUUGAAGGAUGAGCCUGCGUACUAUUAGCUAGUUGGUAGGGUAAAGGCCUACCAAGGCGACGAUCGGUAGCUGGUCUGAGAGGAUGAUCAGCCACACUGGAACUGGGGGACGGUCCAGACUCCUACGGGAGGCAGCAGUGGGGAAUAUUGGACAAUGGGGGGAACCCUGAUCCAGCAAUGCCGCGUGUGUGGAGAAGGCCUGAGGGUUGUAAAGCACUUUCAGUGGGGAGGAGGUUUGGAAGGUUAAGAGCUAUUCAAAUGGACGUUACCCACAGAGGAAGCACCGGCUAACUCCGUGCCAGCCGCCGCCGUAA
This 497-nucleotide ribosomal RNA is filed under the name uncultured bacterium. Its description in RNAcentral is "partial 16S ribosomal RNA". It matches the Rfam family "Bacterial small subunit ribosomal RNA", at positions 29 to 523 of the family's 1533-position model. The record is from RNAcentral.